RNAcentral lists this unclassified non-coding RNA (554 nucleotides) under Hevea brasiliensis (rubber tree). The record is from RNAcentral. Lineage: Eukaryota; Viridiplantae; Streptophyta; Magnoliopsida; Malpighiales; Euphorbiaceae.
GUAAUUUUUGACGUUCUUCUUCCUCAUAAAAUUCAAAUGGCUGUACAUGGAGAUUUUCCACAUCACCUAAGACAUUGCUCAGAGACCUCGGUUGUAUGCUAUUACUAUUAUGCUUCAUGCUGUUCUUAACACGUUGAUAGUGUUCUCGACUGACCUUAAUAUAAGACAUGUAUUUGGCACCAUCGCUGUGUUGAAUAUUCCGCUUGUUUAGUUUUUCUCCUUUCCUGGAUCUUGCAGCCAUCUUAGCUCCAUCGGGCGAACUGCCAUAUGUGCCUUCCGUCAAGCCCUUUCUCAAUAUUCUCUCCACCAUUUCCUCCUCCGAGUCUUUACAGCUCUCCAAACUUUCCUUCCAUAACUGCAACUUUCCAAUCAUAUUGUCAUGGUAAUUUUGUAAUUCCAUGUAAUAUGCCUUCUUGUUAGCCUUGAAAUGUUGUUCCUGGCGCAUAACAUUAUCAGGGUGAAAGCUACCAGAACAAAUCAUCUGACCCCACUUAAGAAAUUGAUUUCCGAAGUGAAAAUUUUCCUCCCCCAGUAAUUUAUACACAAUAUCAUCU